This 785-nucleotide ribosomal RNA is filed under the name uncultured bacterium. RNAcentral's name for it is "bacterial SSU rRNA". It matches the Rfam family "Bacterial small subunit ribosomal RNA", at positions 10 to 796 of the family's 1533-position model. The record is from RNAcentral.
AGUUUGAUCCUGGCUCAGGAUGAACGCUAGCGGCAGGCCUAACACAUGCAAGUCGAGGGGUAGAGUUCUUCGGAACUUGAGACCGGCGCACGGGUGCGUAACGCGUAUGCAAUCUACCUUAUACAGGGGAAUAGCCCAGAGAAAUUUGGAUUAAUGCCCCAUAGUAUAUAACCUUCGCAUGUUGGUUAUAUUAAAGUUCCAACGGUACAAGAUGAGCAUGCGUCCCAUUAGUUAGUUGGUAAGGUAACGGCUUACCAAGACGAUGAUGGGUAGGGGUCCUGAGAGGGAGAUCCCCCACACUGGUACUGAGACACGGACCAGACUCCUACGGGAGGCAGCAGUGAGGAAUAUUGGUCAAUGGGCGCAAGCCUGAACCAGCCAUGCCGCGUGAAGGAUGAAGGCCCUACGGGUUGUAAACUUCUUUUGUACGGGAAGAAAAUGAGUUACGUGUAAUUCACUGACUGUACCGUAUGAAUAAGGAUCGGCUAACUCCGUGCCAGCAACCGCGGUAAUACGGAGGAUCCAAGCGUUAUCCGGAUUUAUUAGGUUUAAAGGGUGCGUAGGCGGACUUAUAAGUCAGCGGUGAAAUUCUUCGGCUUAACCGGAGCACUGCCAUUGAUACUGUAGGUCUUGAGUUCGGUUGAGGUAGGCGGAAUGUGUUGUGUAGCGGUGAAAUGCUUAGAUAUAACACAGAACACCAAUUGCGAAGGCAGCUUACUGGGAUACAACUGACGCUGAGGCACGAAAGCGUGGGGAUCAAACAGGAUUAGAUACCCUGGUAGUCC